AUGGCAACGGGUGACACCCUCCGCAAAGUCGACAACCACGACUGGUAUGGUUAUAUCGGCAGCGCCCCCUACCCCGACGAGAUCGGCAAUGGCCAGUGGGCUGCCUUCCAUCACGUCCACCGGGCUGGCGAGCCGUCGGGUUCCGUAGGUGCUGUUGUGUACCGUGGGAAGAAUGGCGAAGGGGAGCAGAAGGACUAUCUUGUUGCAUGGAGUACUCCAUGGGGCAUGUGGUACCGCAACAAGGCUUAUUGCGAGAUCGGUGCCGUCAAUUGCUACCAAAAUCUUUGGGCUGGUAUGUACAAUAGAGUGGCCAAUUCUGAUUAUUCUUCGAGUGCUAGAUCCAACGGGUGUGAGAUUGAUGCAAGAAUUGAAACAGGCGAUAGCCCAAAAUUUACUGCAAAAAUCACCGUCCGCUGA
This 417-nucleotide ribosomal RNA is filed under the name Triticum aestivum (bread wheat). Its description in RNAcentral is "partial small subunit ribosomal RNA". Lineage: Eukaryota; Viridiplantae; Streptophyta; Magnoliopsida; Poales; Poaceae. The record is from RNAcentral.